CGCAGCCGCGGUAAUUCCAGCUCCAAUAGCGUAUAUUAAAGUUGUUGCAGUUAAAAAGCUCGUAGUUGAAUUUCGGGGUUAGUAGGUUGGUCAUGCCUCUGGUAUGUACUGGUCUCACUGAUUCCUCCUUCCUGAUGAGCCGUAAUGCCAUUAAUUUGGUGUUGCGGGGAAUCAGGACUGUUACUUUGAAAAAAUUAGAGUGUUUAAAGCAGGCUCACGCUUGAAUACAUUAGCAUGGAAUAAUGAAAUAGGACGUUUGAUUCUAUUUUGUUGGUUUCUAGGAUCGACGUAAUGAUUAAUAGGGAUAGUUGGGGGCAUUAGUAUUCAAUUGUCAGAGGUGAAAUUCUUGGAUUUAUUGAAGACUAACUACUGCGAAAGCAUUUGCCAAGGAUGUUUUCAUUAAUCAAGAACGAAAGUUAGGGGAUCGAAGACGAUCAGAUACCGUCGUAGUCUUAACCAUAAACUAUGCCGACUAGGGAUCGGAU
RNAcentral lists this ribosomal RNA (485 nucleotides) under uncultured Glomus. Its description in RNAcentral is "SSU rRNA". It matches the Rfam family "Eukaryotic small subunit ribosomal RNA", at positions 569 to 1058 of the family's 1831-position model. Lineage: Eukaryota; Fungi; Glomeromycota; Glomeromycetes; Glomerales; Glomeraceae. The record is from RNAcentral.